ACCGACGAUCACGACUAUGACGUCAAGAUGCGCUCGGUAAAGCGGUUCCUUGAGGAUGGCGACAAGGUCAAGGUGACCCUGCGUUUCCGCGGCCGCGAGAUGGCCCACCAGAAUCUGGGGAUGGAACUGCUGCACCGCGUCCGCGACGAGGUGGGCGAGGCCGGCAAGGUCGAAUCGAUGCCCAAGCUCGAAGGCCGCCAGAUGGUGAUGAUGAUCGCGCCGCGCUAGGCGCCCGCACCCGCGCCCCACGGCCCGCCUGAUCGGCGGGCCUUUUUCAUGGGGCAGA
RNAcentral lists this unclassified non-coding RNA (286 nucleotides) under Paracoccus alkenifer. RNAcentral's name for it is "Long range pseudoknot". Lineage: Bacteria; Pseudomonadati; Pseudomonadota; Alphaproteobacteria; Rhodobacterales; Paracoccaceae. The record is from RNAcentral.